This 497-nucleotide ribosomal RNA is filed under the name uncultured bacterium. Its description in RNAcentral is "partial 16S ribosomal RNA". It matches the Rfam family "Bacterial small subunit ribosomal RNA", at positions 28 to 507 of the family's 1533-position model. The record is from RNAcentral.
GAUGAACGCUGGCGGCGUGCCUAAUACAUGCAAGUCGAGCGAACAGACGAGGAGCUUGCUCCUCUGACGUUAGCGGCGGACGGGUGAGUAACACGUGGAUAACCUACCUAUAAGACUGGGAUAACUUCGGGAAACCGGAGCUAAUACCGGAUAAUAUAUUGAACCGCAUGGUUCAAUAGUGAAAGACGGUUUUGCUGUCACUUAUAGAUGGAUCCGCGCCGCAUUAGCUAGUUGGUAAGGUAACGGCUUACCAAGGCAACGAUGCGUAGCCGACCUGAGAGGGUGAUCGGCCCCCCUGGAACUGAGACCCGGUCCAGACUCCUACGGGAGGCAGCAGUAGGGAAUCUUCCGCAAAGGGCGAAAGCCUGACGGAGCAACGCCGCGUGAGUGAUGAAGGUCUUCGGAUCGUAAAACUCUGUUAUUAGGGAAGAACAAAUGUGUAAGUAACUAUGCACGUCUUGACGGUACCUAAUCAGAAAGCCACGGCUAACUACGUG